RNAcentral lists this long non-coding RNA (802 nucleotides) under Zea mays. RNAcentral describes it as "long non-coding RNA (ZMAY_LNC001024)". The record is from RNAcentral. Lineage: Eukaryota; Viridiplantae; Streptophyta; Magnoliopsida; Poales; Poaceae.
CAAAUCUGAUUGCAGGUUGGGCUUGCCAAACACAACAAUGCUGAUUAAGGAAAUGGGGUGCGCUAAUUUCUGAUUGCCUUCUUUCACUUUUCUUCUUUCUUCUUCUUUUUUUAUAUUUUUUGUACCUUGCCUUUUUUUUGCUUUUCUUUGUUGUUUAUUUCCUUGUUUUUGAUAACCAGAUCCGAUUCCCCAAAGCAUUCCAAUCAAUAAGGCUGACAACGUGCCAACAAAACAAGCAGGGAGGAAAAAAAGACGUGGGGCGUAUGAACGAAAAAGAAAGGUGGUGAACGACAGAUGUGGGAUGUUUGAUCGAAAAAACGGUGGUGACAAUGGAACUACGAGGCAAUCAGCAACACUUGACGCAAAUGCACACAAAUUCAAUAAUACAAGGUUAAUGAAAGAAAAUGCAAGACCAAAUGGUUCUGGGACAAGGUUCUAGCCUAAUUUUUUUGUAGCUUUUCUGGUGGACGUUGCGUAACACCCUGAAUUUGGAGGUAUAAAAUUUCUUCUCUAAUGCCUACCAAAUUCAGGUGUUACCUCUUGUCUCUCUCUCUAGACUUCUUCUCUCCUCUUUUUUUAUUAGGAUUAUGUCAAUUAGGUGAGGUAUUAACUAUUUAUGUAUUAUAUCAAAACCAAAGUGAUUCAUGAAAUAUUGCAUCAUGCUGAGCCUAAAUUAUUCUUUUGUUUGAUGCACAUGUGUGACAUUGUUUGAAUUUGAAUUUGGUUUGAAUUUGAUUUGAAAUCCAUAAAAAAAUAAAAAGAAAAGCCUUUAGAAAUUUGGAGAAAAAGGAAAAUAGAAUUC